RNAcentral lists this ribosomal RNA (254 nucleotides) under uncultured bacterium. Its description in RNAcentral is "partial 16S ribosomal RNA". It matches the Rfam family "Bacterial small subunit ribosomal RNA", at positions 524 to 776 of the family's 1533-position model. The record is from RNAcentral.
UACGGAGGAUCCAAGCGUUAUCCGGAAUUACUGGGCGUAAAGAGUUGCGUAGGUGGCAUGGUAAGCGAGUAGUGAAAGCGUUCGGCUCAACCGAAUAAACAUUACUUGAACUGCCAAGCUAGAGGAUGAGAGAGGUUAUUGGAAUUCCUAGUGUAGGAGUGAAAUCCGUAGAUAUUAGGAGGAACACCGAUGGCGUAGGCAGAUAACUGGCUCAUUCCUGACACUAAGGCACGAAAGCGUGGGUAGCAAACGGG